This is a long non-coding RNA of Cavia porcellus (domestic guinea pig), 2753 nucleotides long. RefSeq lists it as uncharacterized. The transcript is spliced from 2 exons. The record is from RefSeq and is a predicted model, not a curated record. NCBI's taxonomy places the organism in Eukaryota, Metazoa, Chordata, Mammalia, Rodentia, Caviidae.
ACUCACGACUGCCUGCUUGCAAGGCAGGUGCUAAUGCCGCUGAGCUAAAUCCCCAGCCCCACCAAGAGCUCUUUUUAAAAAAGUUUUUUGAGACAGGGUCUUGCUAUGUAGCCCAGGCUGGUCACAAACACACGGGGGUCCUCCUGCCUCAGCCUCCUGAGUGCUGGGGACACAGGGGUGCACCACCACGCCUCGCUCAUCUUUUAAAGGAGCCUCAGAUGGUUGCUUAUGGGGCUGCCCUCCUCCACCGUGACCUCGUCCUAAUGACAUCGUCAGGGGCCACCCACGUGUCUAACUCAGGUGGCCUUAUGAGGAAUCGGGGUGGGGACUGUCACACAUGUAUUUUGGGAGGAGACACAGUCACCUGGUAACUGUGAUCCCCAUGGCUCCUGUCCAGGUCCCUGCAGGAAGUUUUUGUAGAUGCAGGCAGAUUCUCUCUAACAGCGUAUUAGGACAGGCAGAGAAACCAGGAUAGCGGAGCAGGUUUUGGGAAGGCUGCUAACACCGGAGGACUCACGCUGCCUAAGCUCUGGGUUUGUCGUGCAGCAAGGCUCAGAAGGGAAGAGUGCAGUAUGGGCUCAUGGAAGAGGCUGAGGCAGGAGCGUCUCGGCCACACCCUGUCUCAGAAGGGGCUGGGGAUGUGGCUCAUUGUGCAGGCCCUGGUUCAAUACCCAAGACACAAAAAUAAACUGGGGGAGCUGGUGUGGUGGCACGUGCCUAUGAGCCCAGCACUCUGGAAGCUGAGGCAGGAAGAUUGCUUUGAUUUUGAGGCCAGCCUGGGCUACACAGCAAGGCCCUGUCUCAAGAAAGCAAACUAAAUAAGACAAAAGCUCCCAAAUCUCAAAAAUGCUAAAAUUAACUCAAAGUGAACCACAGAUCAAAAAGUGAAAUUUAGACCUAUCAUUUUUAUUUCAUUGUGCGUUCUCGGGGUACAUAAGGAUCACACUCAGCACGGGGGUUUGAGCCUGCACUUACCACCGUCGGCUUCCUUCCCUCCCACUCUCCUCCCCUGCCCCUCUGCAGAAGCUCCCUUUCCUCUCCCCCUCUUCCUUACUUUCUGUCCUCCCCUCCCCUCCCCUUCCCAUUGGAACAUUUUCUUCCCUUUAUACAUUUGAGUCCUUAGUUACACUUUCUGUUUUUCACAGAGGAAUUUUUUUCUUUUGUCUUUUUGAGACAGGGUCUCACUGUGCAGUUCAGGCUGGCCUUGAGCUCACUUUGUAGCCCAGGCUGGUCUCGAACUUCCAGGGAUCCUCCUGCCUCAGCCUCCGGAGAACUGAGAUUACAGGUGUGCACCACUACAGCUGGCUCUGUUUUUCACAGAGAAACGACUGUAUUUAAAGACCUGUCUCUGAUAUAUUUUGCUUGAGAGUAUUGUCUCACCAAGAAUGGUGGUGCAUACCUGUGAUCCCAGUUUUCAGGAGGCUGAGGCAGGAGGGUUGCCUCAAAUUGAGGGCCAGCAUGGGAUACAUAGUGAGGCCUUGUCUCAAAUAAUAAACAGAAAGAAAGAAAGAAAAAGAAGAAACUUCUGUUCGUGAUACAUAUUGACUAUGUGAUCUAUUUUACAUGCAGCCCAAGACAAUUCCCCCUCAGUUAGUGUGACCCAGGCACCUAAGAUGUUCAGCCUGGCCCAGCACAAGAGCCUAAAAGUGCAAUUCCUUCUGACCCAGCGUCAGGAUAUUUGUGUGUGUUUGUGUGUGCUGGAGAUUGCAAAUGAGCUACAUCCCCUGCCUUUUUUUGUGUGUGUGUGUAUAUAUAUAUAUACAAAAAAAUUUGUAUGUAUAUAAAUAAUUUGGGGAGGAGGCUGGGGAUUUAGCUCAGUGGCAUAAGCACCUGCCUGGCAAGUGUGAGGUCGUGAGUUCGAUCCCCGGUACUGCAAAAAAUAAGUAAAUAAUUUUUUGAGGCAGGGUCUUGCCAUGCAGCCAAGGCCGGCCGUGAACUCACUGAACAGCCUCGGAUGGACUCAAAUUCACAGCAACCCUCCUGCGUGCUGGGAUGAUGCAGGCACCACCAUGCCAGGCUAGUUUUUUAUUUUGAGACAAGGUUUUGGUAAAUUGCCCAGGCUGAGAUCCAAUUUGUGAUCCUCCUGUCUCAGUUUCUCAGUGUGCUGGGAUUAUAGACGUUCUCCGCUUUGCCCUGCUAGUCAGAGACUCUUUGCUUUUUUGUUUUGUUUUGUUUUGUUUUUGUUGUUGUUUUUUGUCUUUUUGAGACAGGGUUUCACUCUGCAGUUCAGGCUGGCCUUGGACCCGCAGCGAUCCUCCUGCCUCAGCCUCCCAAGUGCUGGGAGUGCAGGCGUGCACCACCAUGCUCAGCCUCAUUGUUUUGUUUCUCUGAGAGGGGGUCUCUGUGUAGGCCAGGCUGGCCUUGAACUUCAUAGCAAUCUUCCUGCCUCAGCCUCCUGAGGCAUAGUUCUUUUUUUUUUUUUUUUUUUUUUUGGUCCUGGGACUGAACAGGUCCUUCACACUGAGCCGUAUCCCCAGCCUUUUUGUUGUUUUUUAUUUUCAGACAGAGCCUCGCUGGGUCAUCAGACUGGGCUCAGAUUCAGACCUUCCUGCCUCAGCUUCCCUGGGAGCUCAGUUUAUAGAGCCGAGGCUGGAACCCAGGGCCCAGAUAGGACUCAAACAUUUGGAUGUUCCUAGCCGGCUCCGCGGCCCACGCCUGUCAUCGCAGCGCCGGGGAGGAGGAGGCAGGAGGACUAACUUGAGUUUGAGGCCAGUCUGGACCACAUGGAGACCCAGUCUCAAAGAGCAACCAAA